This 614-nucleotide unclassified non-coding RNA is filed under the name Hevea brasiliensis (rubber tree). Lineage: Eukaryota; Viridiplantae; Streptophyta; Magnoliopsida; Malpighiales; Euphorbiaceae. The record is from RNAcentral.
ACCUUACAAUAAUUUCAUUUUAAGAUAUGAGGUUCGAGAGAGAGUCCUUUCCUUGAAUUCCCCAUUUUUCUAAAAUUUUGCAAAAUCUCCUUUUUAUAAUAAUUUCAUAAAAAACAUGGGUUCGGAGAGCUAGGAGCAGGCUAAACUCUAUGGCCUAACUAGGAAGCAAGCCGAUAUCUACGAAAGAGCCAAGAGCAAGUUAAAUUCUAUGGCUGAACUCUAUGGGCAAAUUAAAAUAUAGGCCGAUCUCUCCUAGCUAAAUUUUAUGACCGAAUUCCAUGACCGAUAUCUAUGGACGAACUAGGAAACAAGCCGAUCUCUACAAGAGAGCCAAGAACAGAUUAAACUUUAUUGCCGAACUCUAUGGCAGAUCUCCAUGGGUGAGCUAGGAAGUAAGGAGAGCUCUAUAGGGAUCCGAGCAUUAGGGUACUAAAAUAUCUAGCUCCACUAAUGCUAGAUUUUUAGGAAGAAAAUCAAUCCUGGCCCUUAAUUUUUAGAGAUUAAAUCUUCACCAUCAGAUUAGAGUUGAUUAAAGCAUUUGGGAUACGAUUUGAUCAUCACCAUUAAUCCUAUUUGUAAGAACAAAUCCCGGGCCAUUGAAUUAAAGUAACAAA